CCUUACUCAUCUCCUUGUCUUCUUUAUUUUCCUUAAAUAAACUAUUUUUUUUCAGCUCUAUAAAAUACGUUUUUGCUUGCUUGUUUGUUUUUCAUGGCAUUACCAUAGGCAGGAAAUAACAAGGCUCUCGAUUUCCUGUUUCACCAUAUCCAGACUCUUCGCUACAGUCUUCAUGCUUCUGUUACAAUCACCGAUGAUGUUAGGUGGUGAUUGCGGCCAAAUCUUAUUGGAUGGUUGUUCACAAACCUGGACUCACCAAGCAAAGCUGCAUCUUGAAGUCACAGCUUCCAAGACUCAGCUCAAAUUCUUUCACUUUUAGAAACGUAGCCAGAUCUCCUGAUAUGGAAACCUGUUACGAGUCUCUCUGUGAGACUGAGAUCAAUCAGUCAAAAAAACAGCACAAGUUUGGGAAGAGUGGUCAAGUGGACAUUCAAUCCAUGAUUAAGGGACUGCUGCAAACGUGAGAAUUUGCUCCCAUUCCUCUGAGAAGAUACUAAUGUGAAUGGCUUUAUUAGGGAGAAAUCUCCUGCCUAUUUAACAACCUGACAGAAUCCUACAGCAUAAGCUGGCAUACUAGUCCAGAAAAUCUGCCAAGAUGAUCCCAGCAGCACCUUAUCAUUAGCAACUACUGAUAUGAUUGUUAUGACUUCACUGAACCCACCAUCAAUGAAAUCUUGAGCGUAUACUUUGAAUUUAGGACUUUCUCCCAGCCAGGUACUCCAAUCAUGGAAGUGGUCAUUUGGACUUGAGUGCUGUCAACUCAGCAUUGUUGUUGGAGUGACCAGUUAGUUCAGUAUUACAGAGUUGAGGGGAGUGAGCAGAAUUCAUCUUUUUUCACAUUGCUGCUCUCAAUGGACUUUCUUCCUGAGAAGACUACAGUGAAUAGUGUCAGGAACUUGUAAAACUAUGUAUUGUUAAAUCUAAGACACCUAUUUCUGUUCUCCACAUUCCUACCCUUAUGAAUUUUCCAAGGUCCUCUGAGUCUUUUUCAUGGGAAAAUAUCGACAAAGGCAGGUUGGUCAUGACUAGAUUAUCUCGGCAAAGAACAGCUAAAAGGUCAUUCAGUCUUGUAUCUCUGAAACAACUAACCUUCUUUGGAAGUAAAUGAAGUAAUUCUCUUUGCUGCUGAUUUGUUUCAAAAAUAGGAAAAGGUAGAACAAUAGGCACAUUAUGCAGAGUGUUUCUGAAAAGAACUUUUAUAAAUUGGUAAUUUAGAAAAUCAGUGGGUUGCAGACGAGACACAGCAUCCUCUGUUGAGCUUUCAGCAAUAACAGAAGUGUCAUUUGAGUACACUCUUUAAUCAAACUUUUUACGAUCUAUACCCGGUCUGUGCAGAGUUGAGUACUUGGGGCUGAGUGAUAUAUUCCAAUGCCUCCUACUUCCAUGAAAUCUAAGAUGCUACUUUAUCAAGCUCAUUUUCCACAGGAGGGAGGUUGAGCAGACAGAGAGGCUGAGCAGUACAUCCAAGGUCAUGCUAAAAGUGAAUGGUUGAAUAUGUGUUUCUCAUCCUUUCCUUUUGAUUCAGCACUCCUGUGUGCUUAUAAAGGAUGACUAACCCCAAUUUAUCACUCAGCUAUUUCUACACCCUUUCCUAUCUGGUAAAAAUUACAUUGAUUUUGGCCAGGAUGUCAGGGAACUACACUUACUCUCAAGAAAGGCAAAAGUCCCUCCCAGAACUAGGAAAUUAAUUUCAAUUGAUCUGAAUGUUGACUUAUAAUUUCAGUCCCUAAAUGUUGAUGGUUGCUUUAGGGGUAAACGUAUAACAUGCUUUCAGCAAACGAGACUUAAAUGUAAAUGAGUUGGAAGACUUCCUUUCCUGAAGUAAACCAUAGCCUUUUCUGGUCCUUAAAUCUAUCUCCUAUGGAGGCAUGAGCAUCUUUAGAGCUGUAAUAACUAUCUGUAUCUAUAAGGUAAAUAGUGGAGCGAUAAAAAUGGCCUAAGGUCCUUGGGUAUAUUUAUGAGUUAAUAUUAAAAAAAAACCUGGAAAUACCUCCAGAGUUCAUGCCAAGUAAGAUAAUUUAAAGUUUUUCAAGUCGAAGCCACUAUAUUCCUUUAAAUUCAAUUUAAAGCAUUCCUAGUGAACCGAUGAGGUUAGUGCAUAUUGGAAAUACAGCGUCUUGCAUGCUUACAGAGAAAGUGGGGGUUACCAGGAGUAAACUAAGCUUUGAGUGAAAAAGAUGGUCAUUUAAGUCUAAAUAGGGAAGUCUAAAUUGUGAAGGAUAAAACUGAUACCCUCCUUGAGUCACAAUUAAGAAUGAAUUUGUCAGAUUCACAGUUUGCAAACACUGUUUCUGUGAUGUAGCUUGCCUCUUCACUAUGUUGAUUGUUUAUUUUGCUGUGCAGAAGGUUUUUAGUUUAAUUAAGUUUCAUUUAUCUAUUUUUAUUUUUGUUGAGUUUGCUUUUGAGGACUUGGUAAUAAAUUAUUUACGUAGGCCAAUGUACAGAAGAGGUUUUCCCAGGUUUUCCUCUAGGAUUUUUAUAGUUUCAGGUCUUACAUUUUAUCUUGAGGUAAUUUUUGCAUAUGGUGAGAGGUAUGGGUACAGUUUCAUUCUUCUGCUUAUGGCUAUCAAAUUUUCUCAGCACCAUGUAUUGAAUAGGCUAUCCUUUCCCCAGGGUAUAUUUUUGCUGACUUUCUCAGUUAGUGGGACGUAUAUGGCUUAUUUCUAAGUUCUCUAUUCUGCUCCAUUGAUCCAUAUGUCUAUUUUCACACAGGUGCCAUGUUGUUUUGGUUACCAUAGCUUUGUGGUAUAAUUUGAAGUCAGGCAAUGCGAUGCCCCCAGCUUUGUCCUUUUUGCAUACGAUUGUUUUGGCUAUCUGGGCUUUUUUUGGGUUUCAUAUUAAUUUUAGGAUUGUUUUUUAUAAUUCUAUGAACAUUGAUGUUAAUAAUUUGAUAGGGAUCGCAUUGACUCUGUAAUUUUUUUGAGAAGUGUGGUUACUUUAACAAUAUUGAUUUUUCCAAUUCAUUAGCAUAGGAUGCUUUUCAGUUUGUGUCAUGUACGAUUUAUUUCAUCAGUGUUUUGUAAUUCUCCUAAUAGAGAUUUUUUUUUUUACCUCCUUGUUAAGUAUGUUCCUAUGGAACUAAAACAGCUCAAGAAGAGAAAAAGAAAAAACAAACCUAGUAAAGAAUGAGCAGAGUUUAUGAAUGGAUAAAAAGACAUAUAAGUGGCCAACAAAUAUAUGACAAAAUGUUCGACAUUAUUAAUCAUCAUAUACAUACAAAUUCAAACCACAAGAUGUCAUCUUAUAUCAGUCAGAAUAUCUAUUAUUAAAAAGUCAAAAAACAACAGAUGUUGAUCAGGAUUUGGAAGAAACGGAACAUUUAUACACUGUUGGUGUGAAUGUAAAUUAGUAUAGCUUUCAUGAAAAACAGUAUGGAAAUGUCUCAAAUAACUAAAAACAGAACUACCAUUCAACCAGACAAUUCCACUGAGUAUCUACCUAAGAAGAAAUAAAUAAUUACAUCAAAAAGAUACCUGCAUUUGUAUGUUUAUCACAACACUAUU
Molecule: non-coding RNA, 3503 nt
Organism: Macaca mulatta (Rhesus monkey)
Lineage: Eukaryota; Metazoa; Chordata; Mammalia; Primates; Cercopithecidae
Source: RefSeq, a predicted model, not a curated record